UUUUUCUAACUUUUCUAAACUCCACUUCACCAAACCACUUUCUAACUCUUCUUGGCCGGACCAGCAUGUCUAAUUGAUUGACCCAAAUUUAUCUAUGCUGACCCUGAUGUCAAGUUGAAUCUUUGGCAGUUUGUUUCUCAUCUCCCUGGUCAGUUGUUUCUGCUCCAUCUUUAUCAUACUUGAAGGUGAGUCCACUAGCAUUGAGUUUAUGAGCCACCAUUCUGUUGAUCUGAUAGUUUGUUUCUUUAUUGAAGUAAAGCCUCCAUUCACCUAUCUUUCCUGA
RNAcentral lists this long non-coding RNA (283 nucleotides) under Mytilus galloprovincialis (Mediterranean mussel). Lineage: Eukaryota; Metazoa; Mollusca; Bivalvia; Mytilida; Mytilidae. The record is from RNAcentral.